Molecule: long non-coding RNA, 1482 nt
Organism: Stegostoma tigrinum
Lineage: Eukaryota; Metazoa; Chordata; Chondrichthyes; Orectolobiformes; Stegostomatidae
Exons: 3
Source: RefSeq, a predicted model, not a curated record
GGCGUCACAAAGCUCUGUGUUGUGACGUCUCUGGGAUUUCACAGCGAGAAAGGUGUUCGUCUGCUGUGGUGGUGUCUAUUUGUGUGCAGAUGCCAGUAUCCAGAACUUAUAAUAAAGCAAUUAUUCAAAAUUCUUGCAAGCUUGAAGAAAAGUACUUGGAAAAAUUAGAGGAAAUGAAGGAAAAGUCAAAAGGAGAGUCUGUGGACCUGACCUUUUGUCAGCAUUCAUUCUCUGUGAUGUCAUGAAUAAAAUCUCUUUGCCUCCAAGUCUGGGCCUUUGGCGUAUGAUUUAAUCUAGCCCUUCAACAGUGAAAUCUCAAUGUAAGGGACAUCAAAGGAAAUCCACAAGUACGUUUUGAAUUCUUAAGUAAUCUUCUCUCCUAACAUCCGGACACUCCUGCAAAAGAAGAAUCACUCUGAGAAUGUGAGAAAAAACUGCUGACCUCACAAAAAAGCUGUCAGGAAAUUUGGAAAGUCUGCUGAAGAGUUUCACGAAUAUAGCUGGGAUCCUUGGGCACAUUUCAUCUCACUAUGGAGGGAUUAUUGAGUGAAAAAAAUGCAUUGAAGAGGCCUAUUUUCCAAUGGGCUCUCCUUCAGUUCAUUGAACGCAAUGACACCCAGCCAAAAGGGAAUCGAACUGUGGACAAAAAAAUGCUGGAGAUCACAGUGGGUCAGGCAGCAUCCAUGAAGAGAAAGCAAGCUGAACAUUGAGUCCAUAGGAUUCUUCAUCAGAGCAAGUUAUUUUAAAAACUGGAAUAAGUAACUGAACUGACAUUUGCCCUUUCAGUUUCUCCAUUUCCUCGUACCAGUUUGACAAUGUCACCUUGCAUUGCGUUUUGUCUUUCACUCCAUGAAAAUUCCUUUCUAUCAUGUUUGACAGGGCCACCAACUGUACCUAUCCCAAUUACCACAUUUCCAUUUUCACCCAUUCUCUUCCCUAUUCAAAUCAUUUUCACAUUUCCCAUAUCUUCAAUGUCACCAGAAUCCAUAUUGAGAGGAUCAUCUUCCGCUAUAUGUUAAUAGGUCCAGCAGGUUUUGUCUUCGUCACUUGUCCAGGUUUUCCCAACAUGUUAGCUCGGCCAAAUUGUCUCCAAACUGUCUCCAAUAGUAACUCAAUUAAUGCAGCCUGCAACCUGCCCUCACAAGUUUGCAUAUCCAAUAGUUAUUGUUUGAUUUGAUUUGUCUCAUGUACCUUAGUACAGUGAAAAGCUUUGUUUGCAAGUAGUACAAGCAGAUCAUAGCAAACAAGGACAUACAUAUCACAGGGUGAUUGGACAGAAUAAGGCAUACAGGGUACAUGGCACAGAAGGUACGUGAAGGAAGAUCAACAUUAACACGAUUUACAUUAUUGCUAAUUAAAGUUAACAAGCCACAUGCAUUAAGACUUUCCACAGCAGGAGCUGCAAGCUUCUUCUAAUUAUCACAAUGACAAAUCACCUAGAUGAUUACCUUGUUUUGCAUUAAAGUAAUUAUCUUUAUCACA